GUUUAACAUCUGACAAAUCUCCUUGGUUUUCCAGCUCUCCCACAGAGGUCCAGGGAGGAGUUCAAUGAGAGCUCUUAAUUCCUACUCAAGAUUAUUCUCUUUCAGAUCUUCCUGAAGCACCAUAUAAAUUACUUCUAAGAAAGCAUGGGAUCACUUGACUUUUUUGACGUUCACAAUGACUGCUCUGUCAUCUACUCUUCAUUAUAAUACCAUCUUCAAUGGUAUGGUGCUUGUAGGAUAAUCUGCUGCUGCAGCACUCAGGGUAGGUCUCUACUUGCUUUUAGGCCUGUCAGUUUUGGCAGGCCUGGGGAAUUCUCGGGGGAAAUAUUGGAGAUUAGACUUUAAUAGACUAAUCUGCACUGCAAUGAAACCUUUUCAUUGAUUUCCAGGGACUUUGCUUCAGGCCUUCAGAGCGAUGCAGUUUGUGAUUUGAGGAAGACGGAAUCUAGGGAGAAUUUUCUUGGCAGUAAGAGCCUGAGCUGGCGUUCAGCUCUGAACUUGGCCGUGCCUGUGCUGCAGACCUCUGACUGGACCUUCGAGCAUAAACCUGAAGUCCAAACGCACUCUUGGAGCGGAG
This 577-nucleotide long non-coding RNA is filed under the name Struthio camelus australis. RNAcentral's name for it is "lncRNA (ENSSCUG00000005884.1)". Lineage: Eukaryota; Metazoa; Chordata; Aves; Struthioniformes; Struthionidae. The record is from RNAcentral.